AUUCACACAGUGCAAACGAUCUGCUUCUUGACAACGAGAGAAUAAUCCUCUUCUUCUUUUUCUGCAAAUAAUAAUCCCUCUACAAUCAAACUCAUUUUUUCUCUUCGAACUUCGUUAAUGUUCCUCAUCACACCUCCAAUUCCAAUUUCGAUUCUUACGACUCAGACUUCAGAGACGAUUUUGGCACGCAACAAUCGUGUUUUCUUCUUCGCUCCUCAGAAUCGUGACUCAAACCCGAACAUAAUCAUCAUGUCUUCGUUCCUCAGAAUCGUGACUUCUAACCACCAAACAGUUUCAGCUUCCAAUCAGUAAUGAGAAAGUGCGCCAUGUAAAUCAAGCUAACCACCAUAUGUACCUUUUCCUAGGAAUUGGUUCAGGAACAAUUAUGGUAGGUGCCCAUCUUAUUACAUGGAAUGUUGCAGACAGUUGCUAAGCGGAUGCAUCUGAAGUUGCAGAGGACAUUAAGGUUUUAACUUGGAAAUGGAGUGCUCAUAAAUUGAAGAUCGCCCCGUGUUUAUAUUACGAAUGGACUUGGGACCCAGUUGACUAAUCUAAUUGGUCAGCUGCUUGAUCUGGGAGGCCUACAAUAUUUAGCAGUUGCAGCCUGAGGUGUGGGUCUGCUGUGUAUUUAGUAGAUUGGAGGCUUGGUUUGAUGUUUAAAGACAUUUUGAGGUGGAUCAUUGUAAGUGUCAUUGUCCCUUGUUUCUUGCUUGUCGGCUGAAUGGUAUGUUUGGCAUUAGGCAAUCUCUUACUGUUUGGAGCUUUGCGAUGUUGUCUAGCUUUGCGAUGCCUGUGACUGUCUGGAGUUUUGUGUAGUUUCCUCUGCUGCCGUGUUAUCUUGCAGGGGUUGUUCAUUGGUUUUUAGUAGGAUGAACUUGUGUUAUUUUUGUUUUCAUCUACAAUGCUAAAACGUGCCCUCUUAGGAAGUUAUUUGUGUAAGUUUUGCACAUGAUCAAUUAAUUUUAACUUAAUUAUAUUUUAUGCCUCAAACUAUAUUGAACUUUAUUAAUAUUUUAGUUAGGGAUUUUUAAUAUUCUUUCCAUUUUUUAGAACAGGACAUUUUCUCAAGCAUGGUUUAUCUCUUCAUGGGUUCCAAAUGUCAUUGUUACUAAGAAGUAAGAAAACAGAAAAUCCACCUCAAGCAUUAAGUAAGAAGCAAUUGUUGAUGAGAGAUUUGAGGUAUCUCUUAUUUUACUCUUCUUAUUUUAAUUAUCAUUUGAUUGUGGUAUUAUAUUGCUAUUGCAAGUUUGUACGUAGUUUAAUAAUGAUUAAAAGUUUUGUAACAUUGUUGAUAAUGGCAUGUGUUAAGUUAAGAGACAAGGUUUGGUGACAUUUCUUAUCUCUUUCUCCUUGUCUUAGUGUUGUUUAAUACUUGUGAAUGUUACUUUUGUUUCUGAGUG
Trifolium pratense (red clover) is the source of this 1400-nucleotide RNA transcript. RefSeq lists it as uncharacterized. The record is from RefSeq and is a predicted model, not a curated record. The transcript is spliced from 6 exons. Lineage: Eukaryota; Viridiplantae; Streptophyta; Magnoliopsida; Fabales; Fabaceae.